CCUACGGGGGGCAGCAGUGAGGAAUAUUGGUCAAUGGCCGGAAGGCUGAACCAGCAACGCCGCGUGGAGGAUGAAGGUUUUCGGAUUGUAAACUCCUUUUGUUAGAGAAGAUAAUGACGGUAUCUAACGAAUAAGCACCGGCUAACUCCGUGCCAGCAGCCGCGGUAAUACGGAGGGUGCAAGCGUUACUCGGAAUCACUGGGCGUAAAGAGCGCGUAGGCGGGAUAGCAAGUCAGAUGUGAAAUCCUAUGGCUUAACCAUAGAACUGCAUUUGAAACUGUUAUUCUAGAGUAUGGGAGAGGUAGGUGGAAUUCUUGGUGUAGGGGUAAAAUGCGUAGAGAUCAAGAGGAAUACUCAUUGCGAAGGCGACCUGCUAGAACAUAACUGACGCUGAUGCGCGAAAGCGUGGGGAGCAAACAGGAUUAGAUACCCCAGUAGUC
This 440-nucleotide ribosomal RNA is filed under the name uncultured bacterium. RNAcentral describes it as "partial 16S ribosomal RNA". It matches the Rfam family "Bacterial small subunit ribosomal RNA", at positions 338 to 795 of the family's 1533-position model. The record is from RNAcentral.